This 1190-nucleotide long non-coding RNA is filed under the name Callithrix jacchus (white-tufted-ear marmoset). Its description in RNAcentral is "lncRNA (ENSCJAG00000070161.1)". The record is from RNAcentral. Lineage: Eukaryota; Metazoa; Chordata; Mammalia; Primates; Cebidae.
UUGCUGCUCUGUCCACUGAGAAGUGGUGCCUCAGUCCCCUCCCCUUGAGUCUGGGCUGGCCACAGGGACCCACUUGACCAGGAGACUGCAGCAGAGAGACACUGCCGGACUGCCGAGGUGGCCGAGAAGCCUCAGUCUCCACCCCGCUCUCUCUCCAGAUGUUCCCUCUCAGGACGUUCACUCUUGCCACCUGCCCACCACACUGUGAGUCGCUCAUUCCCACGGGGAGGCCACGUGCAGGCCCUUGCUGCGGCAGCCCUGGCCGAGCUCCCAGGGUGAGCCAUGUGAGAAAGCCACCGUGCCAAUCUGCUAGGGCUGCCCUCAACACUACCUGCUCUGGGUGGUUUAGGCAACAGAAAUGUAUCAUCUCACAGUUACAGAGCUGGGAAGUCCGAGGUCCGGUUGCCAUGGAGCUGGCUCCUCCCAAGGGCCUGGAGACAGAAGCUGCUCUGUGCCCCUCCCUGGCGUCUGGUGUUUGCUGCCAUCUUUGCUGUCCCUUGGUUUGUAGACACACAUGACUCCAGCCUCCGCCUUCAUCUUCACAUGGCAUUCUGCUGUGUGUGUCUGUGUCUUUCCCCUUUUUAGAUCUUUUCUGCUCAGAGACCCCUCCCUUUGAAGAGAGAGAGAGAGCUGUUUCUCUUCUGCCUGUUAAACCUCCAUUUCUAAAUUCCUCGUGUAUGUCUGUAUCUGAAAUUUUCCUGGUGCAAGACAAUGAACCCCAAGGUGUGUACCCCAGACAAUGUGUCUGCUUCAUAUGGGGACCUCGUCCAGGAUACCAAGGUGUGACAUUUUGAAACGGAAAAGGCAUUUAUUGAACACAGAUGUGGCCAGUCCACACAGGCUGCUCCGUCCUGUGUGUUUGUUCUCCUUGGCAUUCCCUUGUCUGGUGGACACUUCAUUCUUUUGUAAGUUUUUCCUCUGAGGUUCUCUGUCAUUGGAUUAGUAAACACUUGAUUAACUCCGAGCCAAAAAUAAACAGAAGCAAGAACGUAAAUGAUGCUGCAGAUGAAACCAGGCCUGGUGGUCUCAGAGGGCCAUGGAGCCAGCGCAGUGAUGGCCUGAGGGGCUCAGCUUGCACUCUAGCUGGAGAAUACAGCAUUUCCACGGAUGCCUUGCACAGUCCUCGGGAAAUAUCAGCCUCCAUAGGUGCCUUCAACAAAAACCUGUUCCCUUCACCUGGGAAUUCGUAA